AGCUGCGGUGGUCCUCCUGGCUGGCAUCGAUGAAGUAGCGCACUGUGCCGUCCUCGUUGAACACCUGGGCACAAUUGAAUUGGGGACCAGGUGAGGCGGGGCUGUAUCACAUGGGCCACCUGUGGCCCUGUGCUGGCCACAUCUACACACUCUCUCUAUCCUCACAGCAGCCCCAGGCAGUGGACACGGCUAUUAUCAUAUCAGUUUUCCAGCUAAGGAAAAGGAGGCUCAGAGAGGUACAGUGACUUGCCUGAGGCCAGGCCACUAAAAAUGGCCCACAGGAGUCAGUCUCCAGGGCCUCACAGGCUCCUCCGUGUCCUCCCCUUUCUCAAAAUAAAAGGGUCUCCAGGGGAUCACUGACCAGACAAAGCGGCAUCCAGUGAGCUCUCCAGGGACGCAGAGGUGCUCCCGGACAAAGCACUGGCUAGAAUCUCAGACCAGAGGAAAGUCCGGCUCACUGUGCGCCGGGCCCAAGCCCCUUCUCGGGAGCUACCAAGAAUGCUCAGAGAUCACACUGGACCCCAACUGCCUCUCCUAGCAACAAAUGCAGAAGGCAACCACUGGUCCAAAGCUCUAGGAGAGGGAGGAGGGUCCUUGCUCCAUUGGGGCUAAGAAGUUGAUUCUCAAGAAGCACAGGCCACCCUUCUCCGUUCCAGCCACCCUCACCUCAGGCCAACACUGGCCCUGAGAGCCUCUCCUGCCUCCCAGAUAUCCACACGCUCUGGGGCGAUGACUCGGCCGGUGAAGGGGCCCAUCUCCGUGCCUGCCUUGAUCCACGUCUUGGAGAAGAUGCCGAGGC
Molecule: long non-coding RNA, 799 nt
Organism: Manis javanica (Malayan pangolin)
Lineage: Eukaryota; Metazoa; Chordata; Mammalia; Pholidota; Manidae
Source: RefSeq, a predicted model, not a curated record